GAGUUAUGUUCGUCGAUGAAUCUAAGAUUAUCCCUAAAGAUCUCAAACCGCUUCUCCUUCUCCCCCAAAGCAUUGUAGGCUUUGCCAUGUUUCAUCAGCCAAAUCUCGUAAAUUCUUCGAAUCUGAGCCUCGGUUCUUUCUGGUUGUGGGUUUUGUCCAUGCCUGAUAUUGUAAUCAAUAAUGGACAUAUCCAACGCAAGGGAGAUUGAAAACAACGAAAGCAAGACGAACAAGGCGAGAGAUCUCCCAGGAGGAGCCAUGGCUGGGGAAUGGUAGGUUGGUUGAUUGGUUGGUGAAAUGAGUGAAUUUGCGAUGUGGGUAUUUGAUUGUUGUAUAGAAGGUUGCGUGGGUGUAUUUUAUAAAUAGGAGAUGGCGAAGCAAGAGAGAAGACGUUGAAGAUGAGAGGAAUUACAGAGACGAAGCUGGAUUGAAACAGGAGAUGUUUCUCGUCACGCAAGGUCUCGGGGUUGGUUGUUGGACUUGGACCCACCUAAAUUUAGAGAACUGCGUGGGUGUCCAUCAGCU
RNAcentral lists this unclassified non-coding RNA (525 nucleotides) under Hevea brasiliensis (rubber tree). The record is from RNAcentral. Lineage: Eukaryota; Viridiplantae; Streptophyta; Magnoliopsida; Malpighiales; Euphorbiaceae.